UGAAUCGAAGUCGGGGUGCUGGUCAUCCCCGUGCCGCAAGGCCGAGCCCGUUUGAUGGUGAAGCUUCCUGCAACACAACCAAGAAAAGCCCAUAUAACAGCGACCGUACUAAAACUGACACAGGCAGGUGAGGCGCGUAGCCUCAGGCGCUCGGGAAAACGCUGGUUAAGGAACUCUGCAAAUUGGCCCCGUAACUUCGGGAGAAGGGGUGCCAUCGCAAGAUGGUCUCAGCAAAGCGGCACUAGCGACUGUUUACUAAAAACACAGGUCUCUGCGAACUCGUAAGAGGAUGUAUAGAGACUGACGCCUGCCCGGUACCGGUAAGUUAAUAAAGAGGGUUAGCUCCAGGGCGAAGCCAGCAAUUGAAGCUCCGGUAAACGGCGGCCGUAACUAUGACGGUCCUAAGGUAGCGAAAUUCCUUGUCGGGUAAGUUCCGACCUGCAUGAAUGGCGUAACGACUGGUGCACUGUCUCAACCAGCGACCCGGUGAAAUUGUAGUCGUGGUGAAGAUGCCACGUACCCGCAGCGUGACGGAAAGACCCCAUGAACCUUUACUGCAAGCUGAUACUGUCACUUGGCAUGUUUUGUGUAGGAUAGGUGGGAGGCUUUGAAGUCGGUACGCAAGUAUCGAUGGAGCCAUCCUUGAAAUACCACCCUGAACCUGUUAGGUGUCUAACGCUGACCCGUGAAUCCGGGCGGCGAACACUGUCAGUUGGGCAGUUUGACUGGGGCGGUCUCCUCCUGAAGAGUAACGGAGGAGCUCAAAGGUACCCUCAGCCUGGUUGGCAAUCAGGCGAAGAGCGUAAAGGUAGAAGGGUGCUUGACUGCGAGAGCAUAACUCGAGCAGAGACGAAAGUUGGACUUAGUGAUCCGGCGGUUCCGAAUGGAAGGGCCGUCGCUCAACAGAUAAAAGGUACUCUGGGGAUAACAGGCUGAUCCCGCCCGAGCGUCCAUAGCGGCGGCGGGGUUUGGCACCUCGAUGUCGGCUCAUCACAUCCUGGGGGUGAAGAAGCUCCCAAGGGUUCGGCUGUUCGCCGAUUAAAGUGGUACGUGAGCUGGGUUUAAACCGUCGUGAGACAGGUUGGUCCCUAUCUGCUGUGGGCGUACGAAACUUGAGGGGUAUUCUCCUUAGUACGAGAGGAUUUGGAGGGACGUACCUCUGGUGUUCCUGUUGUCACGCCAGUGGCAUCGCAGGGUAGCUAUGUACGGUUGUGAUAAACGCUGAAAGCAUAUAAGCGUGAAGCCAUCCCCAAGAUAAGGUUUCGUUGAACUUUGGUUCUGAACUCCCCAGGAAGACGACCUGGUUGAUAGGCUGGCGGUGUAAGGCGUGAAAGCGUUUAAGCUGACCAGUACUAAUGGGGGAAUGCUUGGCCAC
RNAcentral lists this ribosomal RNA (1375 nucleotides) under metagenome. RNAcentral's name for it is "bacterial LSU rRNA". It matches the Rfam family "Bacterial large subunit ribosomal RNA", at positions 1480 to 2925 of the family's 2925-position model. The record is from RNAcentral.